This 253-nucleotide unclassified non-coding RNA is filed under the name uncultured Victivallaceae bacterium. Its description in RNAcentral is "contains 16S-23S intergenic spacer region". It matches the Rfam family "Bacterial small subunit ribosomal RNA", at positions 524 to 776 of the family's 1533-position model. The record is from RNAcentral. Lineage: Bacteria; Pseudomonadati; Lentisphaerota; Lentisphaeria; Victivallales; Victivallaceae.
UACGUAGGUGGCGAGCGUUGUUCGGAUUUAUUGGGCGUAAAGGGUCUGUAGGAGGUUUGUUAAAUACGAGGUGAAAUCCGGGAGCUCAACUCCCGAAUUGCCUUGUAGACUGACAGACUAGGGCACUGGAGAGGUAAGCGGAAUACCAAGUGUAGCGGUGGAAUGCGUAGAUAUUUGGUAGAACACCAAGAGCGAAGGCAGCUUACUGGACAUUAGCCGACUCUGAGAGACGAAAGCGUGGGGAGCAAACAGG